UACGUAGGGUGCGAGCGUUGUCCGGAAUUAUUGGGCGUAAAGAGCUUGUAGGCGGUCUGUCGCGUCUGCUGUGAAAAUCCGGGGCUCAACCCCGGACUUGCAGUGGGUACGGGCAGACUAGAGUGUGGUAGGGGAGACUGGAAUUCCUGGUGUAGCGGUGAAAUGCGCAGAUAUCAGGAGGAACACCGAUGGCGAAGGCAGGUCUCUGGGCCACUACUGACGCUGAGAAGCGAAAGCAUGGGGAGCGAAAGGG
Molecule: ribosomal RNA, 253 nt
Filed under: uncultured bacterium
Lineage: Bacteria
Description: partial 16S ribosomal RNA
Rfam family: Bacterial small subunit ribosomal RNA
Source: RNAcentral